UUUUCACUCGCGGCCCUCGACGGGCAGGGUGCAAUUAAAGCUGUGUAACACGAGGAAGACAAUCCAGAGCCUGACAAGUCAAUCAAAGAAAUCGGGCUGAAGGAGCUUUUGAAGGUGGUGGGUAAUUAGGGGUGUGGCUGUUUUGUAAAUACCUUGGUCAUUUUUCCCCAGGGGGUUAUUGCAUUUUCAGGAAGAGACUUGGGAACUGUAUAAAAGUCCUUGGAGGGGAGAGCAGCUCAUUCACUCAGCUCCACUCCUCCUCCAGAGCCUUCACAGCCAAGGUUUUCAGCCUUCUCUCCAACCAGCCCAAAAAUGUGCUCCCGUGAGAACAGAGGCUGCCACAGCUCUGAGAGCUCCUCCUGCCACAGCGGAGGCUCCUCCUGCCACGACAGCGACCGGUCCUGCCACGGCUCCGAGGGGGUCGUGUGCCAUGAGGUGACCCCCGUGCCGGACGUGACCCCCGUGGUGGUGCUGACCCCGCAGUGCCCGGUGGCCACCGGGACGGGGCAGGUGCCCCUGGCCCAGGUUCCAUGCCAGCAGCAGCAGCAGCAGAUCAAGCAGCCGGUGCAGUGGCCGCCGCAGCAGCAGCAGAAGUGAAGGGCCCGGAGCUGCUCCUGUCCCCUGUCCCUGAGCUUGGACAGGCCCUGCCUCAUCCCUCCAGCCCCUUCCCUCCUCCUGAGAACCCCAAGUGGCAUUAGUGCGGUGGAAUUGGGAUUUUUCCCCCCACGCACACGCGGGAAUUCCGAUCUCUUCAUUCCCUGCUCCUGUCUCCAGUAGCAAAGGUGUGAUAUUAAAACCUAAAGCUCAUCAAA
Corvus hawaiiensis (hawaiian crow) is the source of this 812-nucleotide long non-coding RNA. RefSeq lists it as uncharacterized. The transcript has 2 exons. The record is from RefSeq and is a predicted model, not a curated record. NCBI's taxonomy places the organism in Eukaryota, Metazoa, Chordata, Aves, Passeriformes, Corvidae.